Molecule: small RNA, 124 nt
Filed under: Escherichia coli
Lineage: Bacteria; Pseudomonadati; Pseudomonadota; Gammaproteobacteria; Enterobacterales; Enterobacteriaceae
Also listed under: 1 other name
Description: partial RtT sRNA
Rfam family: RtT RNA
About the family: This family represents a bacterial cis-regulatory element known as RtT RNA. The exact function of RtT is unknown although it is thought that it may be involved in changing the cellular response in relation to amino acid starvation.
Source: RNAcentral
CAAGCGGGGAAGGAUGAGAAGCUUCGACCAAGGUUCGACUUGAGCGCCAGCGAGAGAGCGUUGCCGCAGGCAACGACCCGAAGGGCGAAGCGCGCAGCGCUGAGUAAUCCUUCCCCCACCACCA